Molecule: ribosomal RNA, 468 nt
Filed under: uncultured bacterium
Lineage: Bacteria
Description: partial 16S ribosomal RNA
Rfam family: Bacterial small subunit ribosomal RNA
Source: RNAcentral
GACGAACGCUGGCGGCGUGCUUAACACAUGCAAGUCGAACGGAAAGGCCCUGCUUUUGUGGGUUGCUCGAGUGGCGAACGGGUGAGUAACACGUGAGUAACCUGCCCUUGACUUUGGGAUAACUUCAGGAAACUGGGGCUAAUACCGGAUAUGAGCUCCUGCUGCAUGGUGUUGGUUGGAAAGUUUCGGCGGUUGGGGAUGGACUCGCGGCUUAUCAGCUUGUUGGUGGGGUAGUGGCUUACCAAGGCUUUGACGGGUAGCCGGCCUGAGAGGGUGACCGGCGACAUUGGGACUGAGAUACGGCCCAGAAGCCUACGGGAGGCAGCAGUGGGGAAUAUUGCACAAUGGGGGGAAGCCUGAGGCAGAAACGCCGCGUGCGGGAUGACGGGCUUCGGGUUGUAAACCGCUUUCGAAGGUGACGAAGAGUGAGUGACGGUAAUGGGUAAAGAAGCAACGGCUAACUACGUG